RNAcentral lists this ribosomal RNA (1408 nucleotides) under Cantharellus guyanensis. RNAcentral describes it as "eukaryotic LSU rRNA". It matches the Rfam family "Eukaryotic large subunit ribosomal RNA", at positions 73 to 1398 of the family's 3401-position model. The record is from RNAcentral. Lineage: Eukaryota; Fungi; Basidiomycota; Agaricomycetes; Cantharellales; Hydnaceae.
GAUUCCCCCAGUAACUGCGAGUGAAGAGGGAAGAGCUCAUCAUUGGAAUCUGGCAGCUUUACGCUGUCCGAGUUGUAGAUGAGAAGAGUAGGCCAUCUGGACUGCUGGACAUCCAAGUACAAUAGGCCGUCAGUGGGACAUCGUAGAGGGUGACAAUCCCGUCUUUGAUGUCCAAGUUCGAGUCCUAUACGAUGCCUAUCUCUAGAGAGUAGAGCAGUUUGGGAUUUGCUGCUUCAACAUGGGAGGUAGACUCCUUCCAAGGCUAAAUAUUGGCGAGAGACCGAUAGUGAACAAGUACCGUAAGGGAAAGAUGAAAUAGUACUCUGUAAAGGGAGUCAAAAAGUCGUGAAAUUGUUGCGAGAGAACCGAUUCAAGUCAGCCUCAAGCUAGAGCCCCUCUUAGGGCCUUAGCCAAUAAUGCUUCUUGGACUAGCUUUGCCAGCGGUCUUGUCUUUUCUUAUAUCGACUUGACUUGGCUUCAUGCGCGAGCACCAACAAAGCCCAAGCCCUUGGCUUGACCGUUGUUGAUGAUCACCGAGUGGGAACGCGCUGCUGGCAGAAUGGCUUGCAAUCGACCCGUCUUGAAACACGGACCAAGGAGUCUAACAUGUAUGCGAGUAUAAGGGUGACAAAACCCGUAUGCGCAAUGAAAGUGACUAUCGUUUGCAUGGUUGUUGUGCGCCUGACGACUGGUACGAAAUCAGCUGCUCCUCAGACGGCCACUGCCCAGGUUCUAUGGUAUGAUCCCAUGAACAUGGAGACGGAGCAUACAUGCUAGGACCCGAAAGAUGGUGAACUAUGCCUGGACAGAGUGAAGCCAAGGGAAACCCUGGUGGAGGCUCGUAGCGAUUCUGACGUGCAAAUCGAUCGUCUGAUCUGGGUAUAGGGGCGAAAGACUAAUCGAACCAUCUCAUAGCUGGUUCCUGCCGAAGUUUCCCUCAGGAUAGCAGAGACAUAGAUGAAGUUGCAUGCGGUAAAGCGAAUGAUUAUCGACGCUGGGGCUCUAAUGGGCCUCAAUCUAUUCUCAAACUGUGAAUGCGUGCGUAUGGACUGUUCCUUAGCAUAAGAAGGCCUGCCAGCAAUGCUUCAGUCUCUAGUGGGCCAUUUCUGGUAAGCAGAACUGGCGAUGCGGGAUGAACCGAAAGCGAGGUUAAAGUGCCAGAAUGUACACUAACCAGAGAUAAAAGGCGUAUGUGCAUGGACACAGUAGGGCAGUGGCCAUGGAGGUUGGCAUCUGCUAAGGAGUGUGUAACAACUCACCUACCUAAUGUACUUGCCCUGAAAAUGGAUGGCGCUCAAGUGUACUACUCAUACCUCGCCAUCAGCCUUAGUGGGGGGAGCUCGGGUGUCCAAAGCCCAAGGCCGAACCCCUCCAAUGGAUGGGCUGAUGUGUAGGCAGGCGUGAAGGU